UGGGGAAUUUUGGACAAUGGGCGAAAGCCUGAUCCAGCAAUGCCGCGUGUGUGAAGAAGGCCUUCGGGUUGUAAAGCACUUUUGUCCGGAAAGAAAUCCUUGGCUCUAAUACAGUCGGGGGAUGACGGUACCGGAAGAAUAAGCACCGGCUAACUACGUGCCAGCAGCCGCGGUAAUACGUAGGGUGCAAGCGUUAAUCGGAAUUACUGGGCGUAAAGCGUGCGCAGGCGGUUUGCUAAGACCGAUGUGAAAUCCCCGGGCUAACCUGGGGAACUGCAUUGGUGACUGGCAGGCUAGAGUAUGGCAGAGGGGGGUAGAAUUCCACGUGUAGCAGUGAAAUGCGUAGAGAUGUGGAGGAAUACGAUGGCGAAGGCAGCCCCCUGGGCCAAUACUGACGCUCAUGCACGAAAGCGUGGGGAGCAAACAGGAUUAGAUACCCUGGUAGUCCACGCCCUAAACGAUGUCAACUAGUUGUUGGGGAUUCAUUUCCUAGUAACUAGCUAACGCGUGAAGUUGACCGCCUGGGGAGUACGGUCGCAAGAUUAAAACUUAAAUGAAUUGACGGGGUCAUAGCUGUUUCCU
Molecule: ribosomal RNA, 582 nt
Filed under: uncultured bacterium
Lineage: Bacteria
Description: partial 16S ribosomal RNA
Rfam family: Bacterial small subunit ribosomal RNA
Source: RNAcentral